Molecule: long non-coding RNA, 2107 nt
Filed under: Homo sapiens (human)
Lineage: Eukaryota; Metazoa; Chordata; Mammalia; Primates; Hominidae
Description: HSALNT0183691
Source: RNAcentral
UGUUAUUAGGGUCUACACUGAAAGAAGUGAUAACUAUGCUGAGUAGUUUUUUUGUAUUUUUUUGUUUUUUGGUUUGUUUGUUGUUUUUUUUUUUUGAGACGGAGUCUCGCUCUGUUGCCCAGGCUGGAGUGCAGUGGUGCGAUCUUGGCUCACUCCAAGUUCCACCUUCCAGGUUCACGCCAUUCUCCUGCCUCAUAUGCUGAGUAGUUUUAAUAAAGAAAAGCAUCCAGACAUCCCCACAAACAAGACUUUGUGACUGGAGCCUCAGUAAGGGGUCACUGAACUCCAGAACCACACUCACUCAACAAGACAAAGUACCUUCCUCAACACCAGGCUGCUGAACCCUCCCAUAGCUCACACACAGCUGCCCAUUGUCAAAAACAAAAGCAAUGAGUGAGAUGGAAUUCUCUUUUCAAUAUCUGCUCCUACCCUCAAAGUAGACGCUGCCUUUGGGUGGGCCAGUCCAGUAGCAUAACCAAGGAAUGUAAAUCCUCAGCAUGUAAAGGCGGGGUGGAAAGAAGCCACAGACACGCAUGUGGGAGACUCGCGCACCCACACCAAAGCUGACUUCGAUGCUUAAAGGUCGAAGCACCGGACCCCUCUUCUUUUAUCUCUGUGGUAGAGACAAACACAACUUACAUCUCAUUUCCUCAUGAUCUACAGUGAAAGAAAGUGAGUGGAAUACAGGUUAUAGGCAUUUACAAGAUUCCAGUCCAUUGAGACCUUGCACAUGGGAACACAACAGCAUCUCUUCAAAUGCAAUUUUGAAGAUGUUCACACAGGCAUCAUGGGGAGAAGACUGGAAGGAAUGCUCUGCACCCUGGGGUUGUGUGCUGAGUGCGACUCUGGGGAAGAAAAUGACUCCACAGCUUAAAUAAAAAUGUUGAAGGCCACUGUGAGCUACAUCUCAAAUGGCCCCCGAGGGAUCUUUUCCAUGGCCUUAGCUCACUUGCAGAAGACAUCUGCAUGGCCCAGCAAGCUCCGCGGAUGCAGAGGCAGAGUGUGAUCAAAGCCCAGCUCAGCUCUCCUCUGGUCGCCGAAUACCUGUCUGGGGCACAUUGGAGAGGAGCAGGGGACCUGCAGACUGUGCCCAUCAAGACAGCGACUGCCAUUUUCUGUGCCUCCAGGACUGGGGUCAUCAUCAGGGCUGUGCAUACAGGACAAAAAGCUCUCAUUUUUCCAUCUGGCAUUCCUCAUCUCUGGAUCGGCAUGGGCAGCAGUAAAUUCCAGGAGAGACCUUAGCCAACCAUCCCCUUUGUUUCCUGAAAGAAGAGAGGUUUAUGUUCUCCUGGAAGGCUGACCAGCAGUAACUUAGGGAAGCCACAGGCCAGCAGCACACUGAAAUGCAGAUGUGAUUAGAUAAACGAGGGAGCAAAGGCAUGUUGUGUCAUUAUAGCUUUACAUAAACUCUCCUUUUCCAAUAAGCUCGCCAAGUGUUCUCUGUUGGUAUCAAUCAAACAGCUCCUAAAAACUUACAAUUUCCUAAAACUCUACCAAAUUGGCCUUUCAGCAGUCACUGCACUGGCCCCAGGCCACCCACACUGCUGCGUGCUAGCAAGCCGCCCUCCACCUUCUACUUUACACCUCCGUUUAUUCAACCAAAAAUGUUUCUUCAUCAUCUACAUGGCAGUUGGUACGAUACUAAGAGACAUGGAAGAUUAAAAAGUAAAAAAAUCAAAUGCAAAUCAUGACCUCAAGAACAUAUAAUUUAGUGUAAAGAUAAAAUAGCAUUUACUGUUAUAUAAAGAGGAAACUUAUUUGUACAGCAAGUAAAAUUCAGCAGCAUUUUACAUCCGUGUUUUUCUGUGGAAUUUUGCAGUCUCAUUCUAGUAAUUAUAUUCUUGUUGUAUCUUUUAUUUAUUUGCCCAUUUUUACUGUCACUGUAAUUUUCUCUCUAGGACACCACCAACAAAUAAGAAUAUGGAAAUAAAAACUGAAAUGGGCCUUUGAGGUCAUCCAGUUCCGCGAAGUCAUUUCACAAAUGAGAAAAUCAAGGCCUAUAGAAAUUAAAAGAUAUGUCCAAAGUCAUAGGCUCAAUUCGUAGAAGUAUUAGCUCUAGGCCUCCCCACUGCCCGACUUAAUAUUUCAUUGCCAAUAUAACUUUUGA